ACCAUUUAUGUAGCUAUAUAUACCUAUCUAUCUUCCAAAACUAAGGUCAGGGAAGGAGGAGAAGACAAAUUAACCACCAACAACAGCAGAAGAAAAUAAAGGAGCAAACUAAAAUGGCAGCAAAUAAAUACGUUGCAUUGUUGUUGGUGGUGUUCCUUAUCGCUGGAAGUGCUAAUGCCAGACCAAAAGAAGUCAGCUGCGCAAGUAUUUGCAUCGACAAAGAAUGCAAAAGUGACUUUAACAGUUGGUGUGCAAUAUUCAAUUGUGGUAUCAAAUGUGCACUCAUAGGACCACAAAAGAAAACUGAAACAGUUCAACGACAAAUGGUAAAAGAGCAAGGACUAACAUCAUCAAGGAAGAUUCAACAAUAAAUGAUGAAAGAAGAGGCGAAGCACAAUUGGAAAAAUACACCUACUCAAGUUUUUUAAUACGUGGCUUUCUCAUGAACAAGGACAUGCAUUUUAUACACGUCCUUGUCCUCCUUUCCUCUGCUUGUUAUUAACUAUCACAAUAAUAAUACCAUCAAAAUAUUAUCAAUAUU
This is a long non-coding RNA of Glycine soja, 541 nucleotides long. RefSeq lists it as uncharacterized. The transcript is spliced from 2 exons. The record is from RefSeq and is a predicted model, not a curated record. Lineage: Eukaryota; Viridiplantae; Streptophyta; Magnoliopsida; Fabales; Fabaceae.